RNAcentral lists this ribosomal RNA (253 nucleotides) under uncultured bacterium. RNAcentral describes it as "partial 16S ribosomal RNA". It matches the Rfam family "Bacterial small subunit ribosomal RNA", at positions 524 to 776 of the family's 1533-position model. The record is from RNAcentral.
UACAGAGGUCUCAAGCGUUGUUCGGAUUCAUUGGGCGUAAAGGGUGCGUAGGUGGCGGGGUAAGUCAGGUGUGAAAUUUCGGAGCUUAACUCCGAAACUGCAUUUGAUACUGCCUUGCUUGAGGACUGGAGAGGAGACUGGAAUUUACGGUGUAGCAGUGAAAUGCGUAGAUAUCGUAAGGAAGACCAGUGGCGAAGGCGGGUCUCUGGACAGUUCCUGACACUGAGGCACGAAGGCCAGGGGAGCAAACGGG